RNAcentral lists this ribosomal RNA (277 nucleotides) under uncultured bacterium. RNAcentral's name for it is "partial 16S ribosomal RNA". It matches the Rfam family "Bacterial small subunit ribosomal RNA", at positions 28 to 314 of the family's 1533-position model. The record is from RNAcentral.
GGUAAACGCUGGCGGCGUGCCUAAAACAUGCAAGUCGAACGGGCAGUCUUCGGACUGUCAGUGGCAGACGGCUGAGUAACGCGUGGGUGACGUACCGAUUGGUGGGGAAUAACUGCCCGAAAGGGUGGCUAAAUCCGCAUACGCCUGCUUCAUCAGUGAAGGAGGGAAAGUUGCAAGACGCCGAUCGAGCGGCCCGCGUCCGAUUAGCCAGUUGGUGGGGUAACGGCCUACCAAAGCGACGAUCGGUAGCUGGUCUUAGAGGAUGAUCAGCCAGACU